This is a non-coding RNA of Triticum aestivum (bread wheat), 135 nucleotides long. The record is from Rfam. NCBI's taxonomy places the organism in Eukaryota, Viridiplantae, Streptophyta, Magnoliopsida, Poales, Poaceae.
UUUCUACUCCCUCCGUCCGAAAAUACUUGUCAUCAAAAUGGAUAAAAAGAGAUGUAUCUAAAACUAAAAUACGUCUAGCUACAUUUCCUUUUAUCCAUUUUGAUGACAAGUAUUUCCGAACGGAGGGAGUAUUUG